GAGGAUGAGAGGAGUGCAAGUGGAGAGGAAGAGAGGUUGAGAGGAAGAGGAGGAGGGGGAGAUGUGAAGUGAGGGAGAGGAGGAGAGGUGUAGAGGAGUACAAGUGGAAAGUAAGAGAGAGAGAGAGAGAGAGAGUUAGUAGGGGAGAGAUAGUUUGUAGGAGAAAGGGAGAGAGUUAGCAGGAGAGAGAGAGUUAGUAGGAGAGAGAGAGUUAAUAGGAGAGAGAGAGUGAGUAGGAGAGAGAGAGUUGGAGAGAGAGAGAGUGAGAGUUGGUAGGAGAGAGAGUGAGUUAGCAGGAGAGAGAGAGAGUUUGUAGGAGAGAGAGAGUUGGUAGGAGAGAGAGUGUUAGUAGGAGAGAGAUAGAGAGAGUUCGUUGGAGAACGGGAGAGAGUUCGCAGGAGAGAGAGAUUGUUUUUAGGAGAGAGAGAGAGUUGGAAGGAUAGAGAGAGUUAAUAGGAGAUCGAGAGAGUUAAUAGGAGAGAGAGAGAGUUAAUAGGAGAGAGAGAGAGUUAGUACGGGAGAGAGAGUUAGUAGGAGAGAGAGAGUUAGUAGGAGAGAGAGAGUUAGUAGGAGAGAGAGAGUUAGUAGGGGAGAGAGAGAGUUAGUAAGGGAGAGAGAGUUAGUAGGAGUGAGAGAGUUAGUAGGAGUGAGAGAGUUAGUAGGAGAGAGAGAGUUAGUAGGGGAGAGAGAGAGUUAGUAGGGGAGAGAGAGAGUUAGUAAGGGAGAGAGAGUAAGUAGGAGUGAGAGAGUUAGUAGGAGUGAGAGUUAGUAGGUGAGAGAGAGUGAGUAAGAGAGAGAGAGUUAGUAGGAGAUUGAGAGAGUGAGUAGGAGAGAGAGAGUUAGUAGGAGAGAG
RNAcentral lists this long non-coding RNA (853 nucleotides) under Salmo salar (Atlantic salmon). Its description in RNAcentral is "lncRNA (ENSSSAG00000106219.1)". The record is from RNAcentral. Lineage: Eukaryota; Metazoa; Chordata; Actinopteri; Salmoniformes; Salmonidae.